Molecule: ribosomal RNA, 829 nt
Filed under: Streptomyces sp. 0112ALTP41
Lineage: Bacteria; Bacillati; Actinomycetota; Actinomycetes; Kitasatosporales; Streptomycetaceae
Description: bacterial SSU rRNA
Rfam family: Bacterial small subunit ribosomal RNA
Source: RNAcentral
GUCGAACGAUGAAGCCCUUCGGGGUGGAUUAGUGGCGAACGGGUGAGUAACACGUGGGCAAUCUGCCCUUCACUCUGGGACAAGCCCUGGAAACGGGGUCUAAUACCGGAUAACACUCCUGCCUGCAUGGGCGGGGGUUAAAAGCUCCGGCGGUGAAGGAUGAGCCCGCGGCCUAUCAGCUUGUUGGUGGGGUAAUGGCCCACCAAGGCGACGACGGGUAGCCGGCCUGAGAGGGCGACCGGCCACACUGGGACUGAGACACGGCCCAGACUCCUACGGGAGGCAGCAGUGGGGAAUAUUGCACAAUGGGCGAAAGCCUGAUGCAGCGACGCCGCGUGAGGGAUGACGGCCUUCGGGUUGUAAACCUCUUUCAGCAGGGAAGAAGCGAAAGUGACGGUACCUGCAGAAGAAGCGCCGGCUAACUACGUGCCAGCAGCCGCGGUAAUACGUAGGGCGCAAGCGUUGUCCGGAAUUAUUGGGCGUAAAGAGCUCGUAGGCGGCUUGUCACGUCGGAUGUGAAAGCCCGAGGCUUAACCUCGGGUCUGCAUUCGAUACGGGCUAGCUAGAGUGUGGUAGGGGAGAUCGGAAUUCCUGGUGUAGCGGUGAAAUGCGCAGAUAUCAGGAGGAACACCGGUGGCGAAGGCGGAUCUCUGGGCCAUUACUGACGCUGAGGAGCGAAAGCGUGGGGAGCGAACAGGAUUAGAUACCCUGGUAGUCCACGCCGUAAACGUUGGGAACUAGGUGUUGGCGACAUUCCACGUCGUCGGUGCCGCAGCUAACGCAUUAAGUUCCCCGCCUGGGGAGUACGGCCGCAAGGCUAAACUCAAUA